RNAcentral lists this ribosomal RNA (451 nucleotides) under uncultured bacterium. RNAcentral's name for it is "partial 16S ribosomal RNA". It matches the Rfam family "Bacterial small subunit ribosomal RNA", at positions 28 to 507 of the family's 1533-position model. The record is from RNAcentral.
GAUGAACGCUGGCGGCGUGCCUAACACAUGCAAGUCGAGCGGCAGCGAGGGGUGCUUGCACCCUGUCGGCGAGCGGCGGACGGCUGAGUAACGCGUGGGAACGUGCCCCAAAGUGAGGAAUAACUGCCCGAAAGGGUAGCUAAUACCGCAUAUUAUCUUCGGAUCAAAGGAUUUAUCCGCUUUGGGAGCGGCUCGCGUCGGAUUAGGUAGUUGGUGAGGUAAUGGCUCACCAAGCCGACGAUCCGUAGCUGGUCUGAGAGGAUGACCAGCCAGACUGGAACUGAGACACGGUCCAGACUCCUACGGAAGGCAGCAGUGAGGAAUCUUCCACAAUGGGCGAAAGCCUGAUGGAGCAACGCCGCGUGCAGGACGAAGGCCUUCGGGUUGUAAACUGCUUUUAUAAGUGAGGAAUAUGACGGUAACUUAUGAAUAAGGAUCGGCUAACUACGUG